This 201-nucleotide long non-coding RNA is filed under the name Elaeis guineensis (African oil palm). Its description in RNAcentral is "long non-coding RNA (EGUI_LNC003601)". The record is from RNAcentral. Lineage: Eukaryota; Viridiplantae; Streptophyta; Magnoliopsida; Arecales; Arecaceae.
CUUUCCCCCUCUUUGAAUGCUUGAGCAAGAGAUGGAUGAUGAAGCACCCAUCAAGUAGCAUAAGUUCCGCCAUCUCGUGGGCUUUCAGUUUAGGGAAGUCGUCCGCGUAGCAGCUCCGGACCUCGGCAUCCCAUGCCUUUAACUCUGACAAGCAAUCAUCCAAUAACUGCCUUGCGUGCUCUGGGCUUCUAUGGCGUGAGA